AUUGAACGCUGGCGGCAGGCCUAACACAUGCAAGUCGAACGGUAACAGGAAGAAGCUUGCUUCUUUGCUGACGAGUGGCGGACGGGUGAGUAAUGUCUGGGAAACUGCCUGAUGGAGGGGGAUAACUACUGGAAACGGUAGCUAAUACCGCAUAAUGUCGCAAGACCAAAGAGGGGGACCUUCGGGCCUCUUGCCAUCGGAUGUGCCCAGAUGGGAUUAGCUAGUAGGUGGGGUAACGGCUCACCUAGGCGACGAUCCCUAGCUGGUCUGAGAGGAUGACCAGCCACACUGGAACUGAGACACGGUCCAGACUCCUACGGGAGGCAGCAGUGGGGAAUAUUGCACAAUGGGCGCAAGCCUGAUGCAGCUAUGCCGCGUGUAUGAAGAAGGCCUUCGGGUUGUAAAGUACUUUCAGCGUGGAGGAAGGGAGUAAAGUUAAUACCUUUGCUCAUUGACGUUACCCGCAGAAGAAGCACCGGCUAACUCCGUG
Molecule: ribosomal RNA, 490 nt
Filed under: uncultured bacterium
Lineage: Bacteria
Description: partial 16S ribosomal RNA
Rfam family: Bacterial small subunit ribosomal RNA
Source: RNAcentral